RNAcentral lists this ribosomal RNA (253 nucleotides) under uncultured bacterium. Its description in RNAcentral is "partial 16S ribosomal RNA". It matches the Rfam family "Bacterial small subunit ribosomal RNA", at positions 524 to 776 of the family's 1533-position model. The record is from RNAcentral.
UACGAAGGGUGCAAGCGUUACUCGGAAUUACUGGGCGUAAAGCGUGCGUAGGUGGUUUGUUAAGUCUGUUGUGAAAGCCCCGGGCUCAACCUGGGAAUGGCAAUGGAUACUGGCAAGCUAGAGUGCGGUAGAGGGUAGUGGAAUUCCCGGUGUAGCGGUGAAAUGCGUAGAGAUCAGCAGGAACACCCGUGGCGAAGGCGGCCCCCUGGGCCGUACCUGACGCUGAGGCGCGAAGGCUAGGGGAGCGAACGGG